CUUCACCGAACCCAGCCACAACGGCUCCACCCGCCCCUGACCGUAGGUCGCCAACAGCGCCUGCGCCUC
Molecule: antisense RNA, 69 nt
Filed under: Kitasatospora griseola
Lineage: Bacteria; Bacillati; Actinomycetota; Actinomycetes; Kitasatosporales; Streptomycetaceae
Description: ASpks TB sRNA
Rfam family: ASpks TB sRNA
Source: Rfam by way of RNAcentral